Molecule: ribosomal RNA, 445 nt
Filed under: uncultured bacterium
Lineage: Bacteria
Description: partial 16S ribosomal RNA
Rfam family: Bacterial small subunit ribosomal RNA
Source: RNAcentral
GUGAGGAAUAUUGCGCAAUGGAGGCAACUCUGACGCAGCCAUGCCGCGUGCAGGAAGAAGGCGCUACGCGUUGUAAACUGCUUUUAACCGGGAAGAAACCCCAGGACGUGUCCUGGGUUGACGGUACCGGAGGAAUAAGCCCCGGCUAACUUCGUGCCAGCAGCCGCGGUAAUACGAAGGGUGCAAGCGUUAUCCGGAUUCAUUGGGUUUAAAGGGUGCGUAGGCGGAGCGUUAAGUCAGUGGUGAAAUCCUGCAGCUUAACUGUAGACUUGCCAUUGAUACUGGCGCUCUUGAGUGCGCUUGAAGUGGGCGGAAUGUGCCGUGUAGCGGUGAAAUGCUUAGAUAUGGCACAGAACACCAAUUGCGAAGGCAGCUCACUAAGGCGAUACUGACGCUGAGGCACGAAAGCGUGGGGAUCGAACAGGAUUAGAAACCCGGGUAGUCC